AGAGUGUUGUGGGCAAACCCGAGAUCCCAACCAUCAUUUAUAAUGUUUCAACAGGAAAUCUUUUCUGAGUUCCAAAUAACAGGCUUCAGUGAUCUUUUGGAAGAGGAUCCAUGUUUGCUGCAACAACAACCUGGAUCAUAAUGAUUCCUCAUUGAUAAAGAUUAGUUUUCACAAUCUUCCCUGAAUUUCCAGGAAUUUAGCAGACAAUAUUUAAUGAGCAGUCCCGUAUAUCUCCUUGAACUUCGUCACAGAAUUUUUGGAGGACAAGUAUCUAUGUGUGACAUUGCUGGGUCAAAGUGUUUAUUUUUUGAGAGAGAUAAGAGUGUGAGCGGGGGAA
This is a long non-coding RNA of Herpailurus yagouaroundi (jaguarundi), 337 nucleotides long. RefSeq lists it as uncharacterized. Lineage: Eukaryota; Metazoa; Chordata; Mammalia; Carnivora; Felidae. The transcript is spliced from 4 exons. The record is from RefSeq and is a predicted model, not a curated record.